This 387-nucleotide ribosomal RNA is filed under the name uncultured Sphingobacteriales bacterium. RNAcentral's name for it is "bacterial SSU rRNA". It matches the Rfam family "Bacterial small subunit ribosomal RNA", at positions 992 to 1382 of the family's 1533-position model. Lineage: Bacteria; Pseudomonadati; Bacteroidota; Sphingobacteriia; Sphingobacteriales. The record is from RNAcentral.
UGACUGUAGGUGAAAGCUUACAUCUCUUCGGAGCAUUUUACGAGGUGCUGCAUGGUUGUCGUCAGCUCGUGCCGUGAGGUGUCGGGUUAAGUCCCAUAACGAGCGCAACCCCUACCUUAGUUGCCAUCAGGUUAAGCUGGGGACUCUAAAGGAACUGCCUACGCAAGUAGUGAGGAAGCGGGGAUGACGUCAAAUCAGCACGGCCCUUACGUCCAGGGCUACACACGUGCUACAAUGGCCGAUACAGAGGGCAGCUACCUGGUGACAGGAUGCAAAUCUCCAAAGUCGGUCUCAGUUCGGAUCGGAGUCUGCAACCCGACUCCGUGAAGUUGGAUUCGCUAGUAAUCGCGCAUCAGCCAUGGCGCGGUGAAUACGUUCCCGGGCCUU